AAGGAUCCCAGUUCGAGCUCCUGGCUCCCCACCUGCAGGAAAGUCGCUUCACAGGCGCAAGUCUGCAGGUGUCUGUCUUUCUCCCUCUCUGUCUUCCCCUCCUGUCUCAAUUUUUCUCUGACCUAUCCAACAACAACAAUAACAAACAAUAAUAAUAAUCACAACAACGAUACCAGGGCAACAAAAGGGAAAAAAAAUCGCCUCCAGGAGUAGUGGAUUGGUGGUGCAGGCACUGACUGACCGACUGAGCCCCAGCAAUAACCCCGGAGGCAAAAAUAAGAAAAAAAAAUGAAGCAGCAAGCAUGUAUAGUAAAGCAAAGUUGUAUAGUUCAACCAAUAGAAACCCAACAGCUCUGGUGGUUGGAUUUGGGGGAGAUUAUUUUUUUUUCUUUCUUUUUCCUUCUAGGGUUAUUGCUGAGGUUUGGUGUCUGCACUAUGAAUCCACUGCUCCUGACGUCCAUUUUUUCUAUUUUUGUUGUUGGAUAGGAUAGAGAGAAAUUGAGAAAGGAGGGGAAGAUAGAGAGGGGAAGAGAAAGACACUUGGCAGACGUGCUUCACUUGUGGGGAGCUGGGGGCUCGAAUCGGGAUCCUUGAGCUUCUUACUAUGUGUGCUUCACCCAGUGCGGUAUACUGCCCAGCCCCCCGGGGGGAUUAUUUCUUAUAAACUCAUAAUAUUGUAGCAAGUUGCUCCUGGGAGAGAACAUUAGGCUAUUUCUGACCUGGAACACUGCUUUUUUUUUUUUUUUAAAGUUUUUUAUCAUUUUUAUUGAAUAGAGACAGCCAGAAAUCAAGAGGGAAGGGCGAGGUAGAGUGGUGGUGGUGGGGGGCAGAGACAGACACCUGCUCUGCUUUACUACUCUUGACACUUUCCCCUGGAGGUGCGGGCCAGGGCCUUGAACCUGGGUCUUUGUUCAUAGCAACAUGUGUGCUCUACCAUCUGUGCCAUUGCCCGGGCCCCACUUUUUUUUUUUUAAACAUAAAAAUCAUCUUUUUUUUUUUUUUUAUUGGAUAGAAACAGAGAAAUCAGUCUGGGAGGUGGCACAGUGGAUAAAGCAUGGUCUAUACCUUUUUUCUUUUUCUUUAAUUAAUUAAUUAAAUUUAAUCACCCACCCUGCAGGAGGCUCAAACCUGUGUACUGGGUAGAGCGCAUGUUACCAUGGAUAAGAACCCCUGUUCCACCUGUGGGGGAAAGCUUCAUGAUUGGUGGAGCAGUGUUGUAGGUAUCUAUUUUGCUCUCCCUUUCUAUUUGUCUCUUAUCAGAAAAAAGAGUAGAAAAAAUAACCCUGGUGACCAAGAGGGAAAAAAAAAAAGUGCAUGAAAGAAAUCUAUGCUUUUAAUCUGCUUCAAUUUGCUUUUAGAUACAGUGACCUCAGCAUUGAUACCUGGCAUCGCCAUAUGUCAGAGCUGAGCAAUGCUCUGGUCUCUACAUUUCCUUGUAACAAACAAACAAACAAACAAACAAAUAAAUAAUAGAAUGAAAUCUACUCUGACUAUGAAGCUACCAAGCAAUGAGGUAGCAACCAGAAAUCUGAACUUGCUGUAGUGCAGGCUGGGAGCUGUUUUGAUUUCCUUUUACACAACUAUCACAUCCCGGAUGCUAGAUUUUUUUAUUUAUUUACCAGAGCACUGCUCAACUCAGGCUUAUGGUGGUGCUGGGAGUUGAAUGUGGAAACUGAGUGCCUCAAACAUGAAAUUCACUUGCAUAGCCACUCUGCUGUCUCCCCAGCUAUAAAUAAUCUUUUUUU
Molecule: long non-coding RNA, 1745 nt
Organism: Erinaceus europaeus (western European hedgehog)
Lineage: Eukaryota; Metazoa; Chordata; Mammalia; Eulipotyphla; Erinaceidae
Exons: 2
Source: RefSeq, a predicted model, not a curated record